Molecule: long non-coding RNA, 316 nt
Filed under: Hordeum vulgare
Lineage: Eukaryota; Viridiplantae; Streptophyta; Magnoliopsida; Poales; Poaceae
Description: long non-coding RNA (HVUL_LNC004805)
Source: RNAcentral
GAGUUCCCCGUAACCGGACCUCGAGGUUCCCGAAACGUUCAGAUCACAACGGGACCCAAAAUCAGUGACUAAUAGCAUACAAAACUGGGGGGAAUAGGCCAAAACUGUGAGUUUUAAUGAGUUCCACGUAAUCGGACCCCGGGGUUCCCGAAACGUUCGGUUCACAGCGGGGCCCAAAAUCAGUGAGUAAUAGCAUACAAAACUAGCCACAAUAGACCAAAACUGCGAGUUUUGACGAGUUCCCCGUAACCGGACCCCGGGGUUCCCGAAAUGUUUGGAUCGCAGCGGCAACCAAAAUCAGUGAGUAAUAGCAUAC